This 468-nucleotide ribosomal RNA is filed under the name uncultured bacterium. RNAcentral describes it as "partial 16S ribosomal RNA". It matches the Rfam family "Bacterial small subunit ribosomal RNA", at positions 28 to 507 of the family's 1533-position model. The record is from RNAcentral.
GACGAACGCUGGCGGCGUGCUUAACACAUGCAAGUCGAACGGAAAGGCCCUGCUUUUGUGGGGUGCUCGAGUGGCGAACGGGUGAGUAACACGUGAGUAACCUGCCCUUGACUUUGGGAUAACUUCAGGAAACUGGGGCUAAUACCGGAUAGGAGCUCCUGCUGCAUGGUGGGGGUUGGAAAGUUUCGGCGGUUGGGGAUGGACUCGCGGCUUAUCAGCUUGUUGGUGGGGUAGUGGCUUACCAAGGCUUUGACGGGUAGCCGGCCUGAGAGGGUGACCGGCCACAUGGGGACUGAGAUAGGGCCCAGACUGCUACGGGAGGCAGCAGGGGGGAAUAUGGCACAAUGGGCGGAAGCCUGAUGCAGCAACGCCGCGUGCGGGAUGACGGCCUUCGGGUUGUAAACCGCUUUCGCCUGUGACGAAGCGUGAGUGACGGUAAUGGGUAAAGAAGCACCGGCUAACUACGUG